This 242-nucleotide ribosomal RNA is filed under the name uncultured bacterium. RNAcentral describes it as "partial 16S ribosomal RNA". It matches the Rfam family "Bacterial small subunit ribosomal RNA", at positions 333 to 592 of the family's 1533-position model. The record is from RNAcentral.
UCAGGCCUACGGGGGGCAGCAGUGGGGAAUAUUGCACAAUGGGGGAAACCCUGAUGCAGCGACGCCGCGUGAGUGAAGAAGUAUUUCGGUAUGUAAAGCUCUAUCAGCAGGGAAGAAAAUGACGGUACCUGACUAAGAAGCCCCGGCUAACUACGUGCCAGCAGCCGCGGUAAUACGUAGGGGGCAAGCGUUAUCCGGAUUUACUGGGUGUAAAGGGAGCGUAGACGGUAGAGCAAGUCUGA